UUGUAGUUUUUCAGUGGCGAUCGGUGUUAAGCAGCAGUAACAGAACCUAUCUUAAAAAAUAGAGUGUCAAAGCAGGCUGAUGCUGUAUAUGUUGCCUGACUAUAUAAUAGGUCGUGCGGUCUCUUUGCUGAUUUUUGAAUGACCGUAUGAUUACUAGGUACAGUCGGGUGCACUGUACUCGCAUGUAGAGAUGCACUGCUUGAUCUUGUGAAGACUAACUUCUGAUACAGCAUUUACCAAGGAUGUUUCACUCAUCAAGAACGAUGGUUCGGGUAUAGAAAUUGAUUAGAUACCGUUGUAGUGUACACUGUAAUCUAUUCAGACUAGGGAUCGGUGGAUGUUAUCUCUUUGACUCGAUGGGCACAUUACGAGAAAUCAAGCUUUGUCAGUUCUGGGGGGAGUAUGGUCGCAAGGUUGAAAUCUAAAGUAAUUGUCGGAAGGGCUCCACCAGGAGUGGAGCAUGCGGCUUAAUGUGAUUCAACACGGGGAAACUCGCCAGGUCCAGACAUAGGAAGGAUUGACAGAUUGAUAGCUCUUUCUUGAUUUUAUGGGUGGUGGUGCAUGGCCGUUAUUAGUUGGUGGAGUGAUUUGUCUGGUUAAUUUCGAUAACGAGCGAGACCUUAACCUGCUAAAUAGCCCCAUCGUCUAUGGUUGGUGGCUGGUUUCUUAGAGGGAUUAUUGGCUUCCAGCCAAUGGAAGUUUGAGGCAAUAACAGGUCUGUGAUGCCUUUAGAUGUUCUGGGCCGCACGCUCGGUACACUGAUCGGAGCCAACGAGUACUUUCCUUGUCCGGAAGGAUUGGGUAAUCUUGUGAAAAUUCGUCGUGCUGGGGAUAGAGCAUUGCAAUUAUUGCUCCUCAACGAGGAAUUCGUAGUAAGCGUGAGUCAUCAGCUCGCGUUGAUUACGUCCUUGCCCUUUGUCCACACCGCCCGUCGCUACUACCGAUUGAAUGGUUUAGUGAGCCUUUGGGAUCGGCAGAUUGUACCGGCAACGGUAGCAGGCCGCUGAAAAUUUAGGCAAACUUGGUCAUUAAGAGGAAGUAAUAGUCGUACUANNNNNNNNNNNNNNNNNNNNNNNNNNNNNNNNNNNNAGGAGGUAUUAUUGCAUNNNNNNNGUUCC
Molecule: ribosomal RNA, 1118 nt
Filed under: uncultured eukaryote
Lineage: Eukaryota
Description: partial 18S ribosomal RNA
Rfam family: Eukaryotic small subunit ribosomal RNA
Source: RNAcentral